UUUUGACUAUACAAAGGUAUUGAAAUAAGACUUUAAUUGAGUGCUAAGAGAAUGGAAUUUCAUAAAAACUCUUUUUUAAUUUUAAAAAUUGAAGUUAAUUUUAUGUGUGAAGAGACAAUAAUAAAAAUUAAGGACAAGAAGACCCUAAGAAUUUUAAAAAUUUAAAUAAAAAUUUUAAUUUUAUUUAAAUUUUUUAAUUGGGGCGAUUAUUAAAUAUUAACAACUUUAAUUUUUUUAAAAAAGAACCAAUAUUAUUGGUUAUUUGUAAAAAUACUCUAGGGAUAACAGCGUAAUAAUUUUUGAUAGUUCUUAUAGACAAAAUAGUUUGCGACCUCGAUGUUGGAUUAGGAUUCUUUUUUAAUGAAGAAGUUAAAAAAAGAAGUUUGUUCAACUUUUAAAUUCCUACAUG
This 409-nucleotide ribosomal RNA is filed under the name Amblyomma tigrinum. RNAcentral's name for it is "partial large subunit ribosomal RNA". Lineage: Eukaryota; Metazoa; Arthropoda; Arachnida; Ixodida; Ixodidae. The record is from RNAcentral.